UUUCGGUUUCGGUUUCCGUAAAGUCCUUAGCAAACAAUUAUAUAUGCAUAUAUAAUAUAUACAUAUUCAUAUAUUUUUCUGAGUUUUUGUUCUUAUGCUAUCACUUCAUGUUCUUAUUGGUUUAGUAGAUUCUCGUUAGGUGGCUUGGUGUCAUGAUCUAGAUUCUUGAGAUGGCUUGAUCUGUUUAUGUGUUUGUGUUCUUGUUCUGCUUAUGUAAUGGGCAUGAUGAUCUGCCUGAUGAUCCUGAGGAAGGUGAAGCGUUUAGUGUAGUAUCUUGUUGUUGUUGUUGUUUUCUCUCUGUAUGAUUUAGGAAACAUGGCCACGCUUUUUAAGUGGAAGAUCGUGUAGAAUUGUUUGAUGGUUCAUUGGUCUUUGAUUCUCUAUAAAGUUUUGAGCUUUACUUGUCUUGUCUUCUUUUUUUUCUUACUGCCUUCAAACUGAUGAUGAUGAUGAUGAUGAUGAUGAUCUUUGUUUCUUUAUAAAGAAUGUAAGAUUUACAAAUACAUGAUCGUAUGGAAUUGCUUGAUGGCUAAUUGCUCUUUGUUUCUUUAUAAAAUAAAUAUAAAAAAAUCUGAGUUUUGGUUUUGAUUAGCUUUGCAGAUUGGGUUUCAAUCUCUUCAAUCCUUUGUUAAUACAGAGGCAACAAGGAUGGAUUGACCAGUCUUUGAGCUUGGAAGUGACCAAUCUUCAUUCUCUUCACAGCAAACAAACGAACAGAAGCAGCUACCUAUGCAUGGAAAGAGAGGAUUACAGAACAAGCAAGCAGUAAGCAGAAUAAAGUAAAAGUUGUAGAGCAGAAUAUCAGCUCUUGGUCAGGGAUUUCCAUUAUUUAUUGCUUCCAGCUGGAAAAUGGAUCGAAGCCAAUGAGUUCUGUUGUGAGUAACAUAGGAGCCAUUGAUGAAUCUUAAAAUCCACUCAGAAAAUAGAGUAAAAAGUUUAUGAUAAUGUGUAUGAGAAAUAAUCUAAGAAAUGUACAUAGACUAGUGAUUAAGAAUGAAAUUUGUAUGUUUUACUGAUAAUAUGAGAAGAUACAUAUUAAUAUAGAGAAUUGUUAUA
Long non-coding RNA from Raphanus sativus (radish), 1056 nucleotides. RefSeq lists it as uncharacterized. The record is from RefSeq and is a predicted model, not a curated record. Lineage: Eukaryota; Viridiplantae; Streptophyta; Magnoliopsida; Brassicales; Brassicaceae. The transcript has 2 exons.